RNAcentral lists this transfer RNA (72 nucleotides) under Trichonephila inaurata madagascariensis. It matches the Rfam family "tRNA". From Rfam's summary of the family: Transfer RNA (tRNA) molecules are approximately 80 nucleotides in length. The record is from Rfam by way of RNAcentral. Lineage: Eukaryota; Metazoa; Arthropoda; Arachnida; Araneae; Nephilidae.
GGGGGUAUAGCUCAGCGGUACAGCAUUUGAAUGCAGAUUGAGAGGGCCUCGGUUCAAACCCGAGAGCCCCCU